This 1017-nucleotide ribosomal RNA is filed under the name Leuconostoc holzapfelii. RNAcentral describes it as "bacterial SSU rRNA". It matches the Rfam family "Bacterial small subunit ribosomal RNA", at positions 359 to 1373 of the family's 1533-position model. Lineage: Bacteria; Bacillati; Bacillota; Bacilli; Lactobacillales; Lactobacillaceae. The record is from RNAcentral.
GAAUCUUCCACAAUGGGCGCAAGCCUGAUGGAGCAACGCCGCGUGUGUGAUGAAGGCUUUCGAGUCGUAAAGCACUGUUGUAUGGGAAGAAAUGCUAAAAUAGGGAAUGAUUUUAGUUUGACGGUACCAUACCAGAAAGGGACGGCUAAAUACGUGCCAGCAGCCGCGGUAAUACGUAUGUCCCGAGCGUUAUCCGGAUUUAUUGGGCGUAAAGCGAGCGCAGACGGUUGAUUAAGUCUGAUGUGAAAGCCCGGAGCUCAACUCCGGAAUGGCAUUGGAAACUGGUUAACUUGAGUGUUGUAGAGGUAAGUGGAACUCCAUGUGUAGCGGUGGAAUGCGUAGAUAUAUGGAAGAACACCAGUGGCGAAGGCGGCUUACUGGACAACAACUGACGUUGAGGCUCGAAAGUGUGGGUAGCAAACAGGAUUAGAUACCCUGGUAGUCCACACCGUAAACGAUGAAUACUAGGUGUUAGGAGGUUUCCGCCUCUUAGUGCCGAAGCUAACGCAUUAAGUAUUCCGCCUGGGGAGUACGACCGCAAGGUUGAAACUCAAAGGAAUUGACGGGGACCCGCACAAGCGGUGGAGCAUGUGGUUUAAUUCGAAGCAACGCGAAGAACCUUACCAGGUCUUGACAUCCUUUGAAGCUUUUAGAGAUAGAAGUGUUCUCUUCGGAGACAAAGUGACAGGUGGUGCAUGGUCGUCGUCAGCUCGUGUCGUGAGAUGUUGGGUUAAGUCCCGCAACGAGCGCAACCCUUAUUGUUAGUUGCCAGCAUUCAGUUGGGCACUCUAGCGAGACUGCCGGUGACAAACCGGAGGAAGGCGGGGACGACGUCAGAUCAUCAUGCCCCUUAUGACCUGGGCUACACACGUGCUACAAUGGCGUAUACAACGAGUUGCCAACCUGCGAAGGUGAGCUAAUCUCUUAAAGUACGUCUCAGUUCGGACUGCAGUCUGCAACUCGACUGCACGAAGUCGGAAUCGCUAGUAAUCGCGAUCAGCACGCCGCCGAUCGCCC